This 257-nucleotide long non-coding RNA is filed under the name Sarcophilus harrisii (Tasmanian devil). Its description in RNAcentral is "lncRNA (ENSSHAG00000026164.1)". The record is from RNAcentral. Lineage: Eukaryota; Metazoa; Chordata; Mammalia; Dasyuromorphia; Dasyuridae.
CGGGCACGCUGAAGGAUACUAUUUCAGGCCGACUCGGAGACAAGAAUGUGUUCUUUGCCACGGGAAGAAUGUUCCCUGAGUCAGAGCUGCUCAUCGGUUGACAUUUUCUAACUAAAUGAAGCGUUUCUUGCAAAAAAAAAAGAGGAGAAAACACCCCCAGCUACCCCAACAAUUGAGCACAGUAGUUUUCCAUCACAUUGAUUUAUCAUAAAUUAUUCAUCCAUCCCCCAUGUGAUGCAGACCCCUUAGUUUCCAGU